UACGUAGGGGGCAAGCGUUGUUCGGAAUUACUGGGCGUAAAGGGCGCGUAGGCGGAUCGUUAAGUCGGGGGUGAAAUCCUGGAGCUCAACUCCAGAACUGCCUUCGAUACUGGCGAUCUUGAGUCCGGAAGAGGUGAGUGGAACUCCUAGUGUAGAGGUGGAAUUCGUAGAUAUUAGGAAGAACACCAGUGGCGAAGGCGGCUCACUGGUCCGGUACUGACGCUGAGGUGCGAAAGCGUGGGGAGCAAACAGG
This 253-nucleotide ribosomal RNA is filed under the name uncultured bacterium. RNAcentral describes it as "partial 16S ribosomal RNA". It matches the Rfam family "Bacterial small subunit ribosomal RNA", at positions 524 to 776 of the family's 1533-position model. The record is from RNAcentral.